AAUACGAUGUGGGAGUUGAACAUUCUUUUCAGCUGUCUGUCUGAAACCUCUUUAGGGUUGGUCAAUCAGAGGUCUUCAGUUCCUUCAAAAGCUUGUGCUGUGGGGACAAGAAAGGCCUUCUUUCAUUUCUCCUGCAUUCCUGGUUCUGAAGCAGAGCCGUGAGUAUUGCAAGCUAAUAUUAACAUUGCUGUGGCUGCAGUGUUUGUGCCUUCCGCUAGUUCUGUCUUGGGCUAUGCAUCAGUGGGGUUAUUCUAGAUAGCCACGUGCCGAGAGGAGAAAAACCAAUUUCGGCUCACAACACACAGCUUUAUAAAAUAAAUCACUCUGUCUGCCCCGGAUAAUUCACUCUGUAUUAAGUGUCGUCCUUUUAAAAGGAAACAUACUCGAGUUUGAGAAAGUGGCAACAGGGAAACCAUCCAUGGUGACUGGCUCCAAUAUCGCAGAAUGAAGAAACACUGCAAUUCGAGAAGCUAAGGUAACAAAAGAAUGUGCCACUGUACUCUGCAUCAUUUAGCUUAUUUAGCUGGUUGAUUUCCUACAGCAGAAGUUCUUUUUCCCCCCCAGGAGAGGCAAAUGAGCUCAGACCAAAACUUUUUUCGCAGUAUUCAUUUCUGCGACAGAGUGGGGAUGAAGGGGGGUGGGGAAGCCAAAUUCUGUUGAUCUCAAACUCCUGUCUCUCCCAGGAAUGAUCUUCCCUUUAACUUUCUUCUAUGUGGUAUUAUUACUACCAUGUUUACUGCUAAUGAUGACAGGGGUGGGGUGGGGGAGAGUGCAGGUAACUGUGUUCAAAAUGGUGGCACCUUUUGCUCCUGUGGCAUUUGGUGUCUUGGAUAGGCCAUGCUUGUACUGCCAAAAUAAGGGUGACAUUCCCCAGGCCAUAUUGUCACCCUUCAUCAUUUAUUUAUUUAUUUAUUCAUUUAUUAUACUCCCCCCCUCACCCCUUUCUCCAAGUGCAGGACCAAAGGCAGCUCAGAGCACAAAUUACAACUAAAAAUACACAACAAAUAUAAAUAUCAAGAAACAAUUAAAUAGGUUACCCUAUUAAAAACAGCAUUGAAAACCAUUUAAAAUCACACAUACACAAAAGGAACAGCACCAGCCACCCUUGGAAGAAUCCUGCCACAACAGCCAGUUAGUAUUUAUUUCUCUUAUCUUCUUGAGACCCUUGUCAGAAAUGACCUUGCUGUGUCCGAGACGGGAAGGGCAGAGCUGGAAUGAGAUGUGGGAAAACGCCAUGUUGGGUAAAGCAAAAGAGAUCGGCUCACGCCUGCUUUGUAAAUGAAUCAGCUGGUCCCAAAUGAAAUAGUCACAAUGGCAUGCAUCAGUAAACAAAGAGAUGUGGUUAACCAAGAUUUGGCGGAGUCAAGAUGGUGGGGGCAAGGAGGGACUUGCGAAGGACAAGGCAGCCUUCACACAAGUGCCUUGAACAUAGAAAGAGUCCCAUUGGAUCAGACCCAAGGCCUGCUUAUUCCCAUAGCGGGCAACCAGAUGUCCCCCUGUGCCAUAUAUAAUGCAGGCAGAGGCAGAGGCAUGACUGGUUCAGUUGCACUGGAUGCGGAUCCAUGAUUUACCAUGGAACAGAAGAGGGGCACCGAAUUUUGCACAGGGUACCGCUGAAAUUUGAGACCCUCGGAUUCGCCACAGAUGCAGGACAUGAUGGUGCUUGUGUUCUCCAGCAACUGGUAUUCAGAAGCAUACUGCCUCUGUUUAUGGAGGUUUGUGUGUAGGUGUGUGUAUAUACAUAUAUAUAUAUGUAGAUAUAUAUAGAUAUAUAUAGUGUUUCUGUGCGCUUCUCUGGUUUCACCAGAAGUGGUUUAGUCAUGCUGGCCACAUGACCCGGAAAAACUGUCUGUGGACAAACGUCGGCUCCCUCGGCCAAUAAAGCAAGAUGAGCGCCACAACCCCAGAGUCGUUCACGACUGGACUUAACUGUUAGGGGUGCUUUACCUUCACUUUAUAUAUCCAUCAAGACUAGCAGACAUUGAUUGACCUUAUCCUCCAAUAGCCUUAUCCUCCAAUCCCAUUGCUCUGUUUUUAAAUCUUCACACUUCAGGUUCGCCUUAUCACUCCAUAACUACCAGCUGCUGCACUUUAACUGUGCCACAUCCUGAUACGCUCACCCUCCUCAAAAAAUUAAUUCAGUAGAUUGGUUUGGGGUUUCCUUGGUCAUUAUCAGGCCACAUUGGGGAAGGAGAAGUGUGACAAUUGUCAGGGUGUUCUAAAUCUGGCAGUUUCCACAAAUAAUGUCCCUCUCAUCUCUCCCUUAGCCUUGGCCUGUGCCUAAGGGUGCUGUAAAAGGAACGGCAUGAAAAACUUCCAGAAAUAAAAGAAGAAUGUCUUAGUUGGGAAGUGAACACAGCAAUGAAAGAUCUCUGUAAACUCUAGCCCUGGGCACUGAUAGCAAAGUCCACAUGCUCACUUUAACUGCACCCCCUCUUUGAAAAACGGUUCUUCCCUCUUUUCAGAGCUGCGUAGAGAUUGCUGCACACACAAUGGCUGGCUGCAAUGAUUUCUUUCAGCUUGAAGAGAACAGUAGCCAUUGGACCAAAGUCUUUAUGUUUUUAAGUGAAGCUGAUUUUGAUGAUAAAGGAUAGUAUAUGUUUUUUGGGGUUUCUAAAGACAUAUGUUUUUGUUUCAUUUUCAGGCGUAACGGCAAUAAUAUCACCAUGAACAAGAUAAAUACAACAAGAAGUGAAUAGCAGAAAGUCUGGGGAGACAGAACGGUCAUUGUUUAUUUCCCCUGGAAAUAACAGUGAAGAUGUCACCCAAGCAUUUAUGGGCUUGGAGUUACAGACUCAAAUGUCUCAGAAAGCAACAUUCCAAAACUUAUCUUGGGAAGAUGGUGGGCUUUGCAGAGAUGACUCUUUGUUUGCAUAUAUGAUAAUAUGUUGCUACAAAUAAAUAAUAUUUUUUCCAGUC
This 2919-nucleotide long non-coding RNA is filed under the name Podarcis lilfordi (Lilford's wall lizard). The record is from RNAcentral. Lineage: Eukaryota; Metazoa; Chordata; Lepidosauria; Squamata; Lacertidae.